This 23-nucleotide non-coding RNA is filed under the name Arabidopsis thaliana (thale cress). The record is from RNAcentral. Lineage: Eukaryota; Viridiplantae; Streptophyta; Magnoliopsida; Brassicales; Brassicaceae.
UGUGUCAUUCAUUUGGAGAGAGU